UAGUUAACCAUAAAAACCGAACGUCCAGUCCUACUCGUACGUCGUCGUCCUUUUUGCAUAAAAGUCCCCCUAUUGUUAAGAAUUCAACCCGCAGUCCUUUCUUAAGUGAGAAAAACGUUUCGUUCAGAAAUUUUACAAAUAAAACCCUAUGGUUUCAGGGAUUCAACCCGCAGUCCUCGGAUACAAAUCGGUUUCUGGUCUGUAGAUCGUGCGGCGGCGCUCCCGAUCCCCGAUCCGAUCGGGAGCAGGACGACGGCGGCAGAGCUCCGGGAGGCGGGGAACGACGGGGAAGUGGCGGAGGUCGGGAUCCAUCCCGGCGGUUCAUAGUGGUGGCCGGCCGCGGCGGCGCUCCUGAUCCCCGAUCCGAUCGGUAGCAGGAUGACGACGACAGAGUUCCGGGAGGCGGGGAAGUGGCGGAGGUGAGGAUGCAUCCCGGUGGUUCGUAGUGGAGGCCAGCGGCAGCGGCGCCCCAUGGCUGUGGCGACUCGGUCUUCUGGGAAGAAGAUACGAGGGAGGGAGACGAGGUGAGAUGGAGAGAACGGAAGGGAGAAUACGGACUGCGCGGCUACUUGCUGCUGGUCCAACGGCGGCUCCAGUCAUCGGAUCAGGUUUUGUCCGGAUUCCUCUCCUCCCCGCAAAAAAGGUAUGCCAUGUCGUUGUUAAUUGCUAGAGACGCUCUUCAUAAGUUCAGCCUGUGGCCAACAGCAACCUCCAGGUCACCUGAGAAUUCAGUGGCAUAGGCAUGCUCUCGCCUGAUUAAUUUUGUAUUGAAGAUUUUUCUUUGGCGUGUGGGCAGCACCCAUCAGUGUUAGAGUACAUGUUCAAUAUACAUAACAGCUUCUCUGGUGACUUACUCAUCUAAUGGUUAGAUACAAUUUUAGCAACAGUGAAUAGACGCAUGAUACGUUUGUCUGCUUCUGAAUGUUCAUAAUGUUUAAACGAUUCAAUUUUUAAAUGAUUUUGCUUUAGAAGUUGAAUCUGCACAUCGACUAUAUGCUCCAACACUGCAGGCCAACUCUUGAUGGAUUUCCAAUGUGUUGCUGGCCUCCCAAUUUUUUCCGUCGUGCAGCCGCUCCCCGUCUCCCUGCGUCGUCCCAAGAUGGUCCGGCCGGGUGCUGCCCUGACAGCCGAGCGUGUGCUAUCCACGGAACACGGCUCCUCCACCCAGGACCUCCUCCGCAACGCCGGCGAGGACACUACUUCGUCCGAACCGAUCAUCACGACCACGCGCAGGUACACACACAUGUGCUCCCUGCCACCCCUGCACUGAUUUAAGGCGAAAUCCAAUUGGGGGGUAUUGAUAGGCACCAAUGUAUUCUUGAUUGAGUUCCCAUUUCUUGAAUUACGUUGAUCCUUUUGGUAAGAUCAAACCGAACAAACUGAACAUCACUUGCCCAAACAAGCUGAACGUCAUGCUACAUUAUUGCAAAUCAGUUGCCAGGACUUUGUGUUCUUUGUACAAAACAGCCAAGACCUCGAUCACUUAUUUGUAGAGCACAAGCGAAGACACUGCUAGAUAAAUGUCUUCCCAAGCUAAAGGCUCAUGGCUCCGAAGUACUAAUAUUCUCUGAGGACCACCAUAACAUGUGAAAAAUUCGAAGAGCUUUGUGAAGAUUUGUGGGAGCGGCUCUGACUACCAAUUAAGGAAGUCCCACGCAGCGGGCAUGAAGAUUGGUCACAUAUAUAUGUAUAGUAGAGCUGAUUGAGGACUUACACGGCACCCAAACUGCAGGUUGUGGAAAAACGGAUGUAGCAUUCCUUCUACAAGUUGUCAUGAGCUGGGACAUAGAAGAAGAGAGCCGACGAGAAGUCGCACAACGGUUCGCUCCGGUGUCGCUGCCAAUGGUGCUGCGCAAAGUGCGGAUUGCAGGCUAGAUGCGUAUGAGUCCGUCCCUACGUCCAUGACGUGGAAGCAAAGGAAAUCGAUACAAUUAGAUAGUAUAUUUGGUUAUGAAAGUUGUCUUUUGUGUAGGCAGUUUUGCCAUUAUUUUGUAAAAGCUUUGAGUUUUUGGUAAUGUACUUGUCUUACUAAUCACACUUUUAACCAAUUCGUGCCAAGGCUAAUAGCCAAGUUCUGCACAAACUGUUCCUGUUUCCUUGAUGACUGCUAUUGUGAGAAGAUUCUUUUCAGCAUUUAA
Aegilops tauschii subsp. strangulata is the source of this 2138-nucleotide non-coding RNA. NCBI's taxonomy places the organism in Eukaryota, Viridiplantae, Streptophyta, Magnoliopsida, Poales, Poaceae. The record is from RefSeq and is a predicted model, not a curated record.